RNAcentral lists this ribosomal RNA (289 nucleotides) under uncultured bacterium. Its description in RNAcentral is "partial 16S ribosomal RNA". It matches the Rfam family "Bacterial small subunit ribosomal RNA", at positions 334 to 615 of the family's 1533-position model. The record is from RNAcentral.
UAUUCCUACGGGGGGCAGCAGUGAGGAAUAUUGGUCAAUGGCCGGAAGGCUGAACCAGCAAUGCCGCGUGAACGAGGAAGGUCUUCGGAUCGUAAAGUUCUGUUGAAGGGGAAAAAGAGCGGAGAGAGGAAAUGAACUCCGAUUGAUAUUACCCUUCGAGGAAGUCACGGCUAACUACGUGCCAGCAGCCGCGGUAAUACGUAGGUGGCGAGCGUUAUCCGGAAUGAUUGGGCGUAAAGGGUGCGUAGGCGGCCUGCUAAGUCUGGAGUGAAAGGUACCGGCUCAACCG